UACGAAGGGGGCUAGCGUUGUUCGGAAUUACUGGGCGUAAAGCGCACGUAGGCGGCUUCUUAAGUCAGGGGUGAAAUCCUGGGGCUCAACCCCAGAACUGCCCUUGAUACUGAGGAGCUUGAGUCCGGGAGAGGUGAGUGGAACUCCGAGUGUAGAGGUGAAAUUCGUAGAUAUUCGGAAGAACACCAGUGGCGAAGGCGGCUCACUGGCCCGGUACUGACGCUGAGGUGAGAAAGCGUGGGGAGCAAACAGG
Molecule: ribosomal RNA, 253 nt
Filed under: uncultured bacterium
Lineage: Bacteria
Description: partial 16S ribosomal RNA
Rfam family: Bacterial small subunit ribosomal RNA
Source: RNAcentral